Molecule: transfer RNA, 23 nt
Filed under: Hydrotriche hottoniiflora
Lineage: Eukaryota; Viridiplantae; Streptophyta; Magnoliopsida; Lamiales; Plantaginaceae
Also listed under: 1 other name
Description: partial tRNA-Phe
Source: RNAcentral
CAUGGGAUGCUACAUUGGUAAUG